This 253-nucleotide ribosomal RNA is filed under the name uncultured bacterium. RNAcentral's name for it is "partial 16S ribosomal RNA". It matches the Rfam family "Bacterial small subunit ribosomal RNA", at positions 524 to 776 of the family's 1533-position model. The record is from RNAcentral.
UACAGAGGGGGCGAGCGUUGUUCGGAAUUACUGGGCGUAAAGGGCGCGUAGGCGGCCAACUAAGUCAGACGUGAAAUCCCUCGGCUCAACCGGGGAACUGCGUCUGAUACUGGAUGGCUUGAAUUCGGGAGAGGGAUGCGGAAUUCCAGGUGUAGCGGUGAAAUGCGUAGAUAUCGGGAGGAACACCAGUGGCGAAGGCGACUUCCUGGCCUGUUCUUGACGCCGAGGCGCGAAAGCUAGGGUAGCAAACGGG